UACGUAGGGGGCAAGCGUUGUCCGGAAUCAUUGGGCGUAAAGAGCGUGUAGGCGGCCAAACAGGUCCGUUGUGAAAACUGGAGGCUCAACCUCCAGACGUCGACGGAAACCGUGUGGCUAGAGUCCGGAAGAGGAGAGUGGAAUUCCUGGUGUAGCGGUGAAAUGCGCAGAUAUCAGGAAGAACACCAAUGGCGUAGGCAGCUCUCUGGGACGGUACUGACGCUGAGACGCGAAAGCGUGGGGAGCGAACAGG
This 253-nucleotide ribosomal RNA is filed under the name uncultured bacterium. RNAcentral's name for it is "partial 16S ribosomal RNA". It matches the Rfam family "Bacterial small subunit ribosomal RNA", at positions 524 to 776 of the family's 1533-position model. The record is from RNAcentral.